RNAcentral lists this ribosomal RNA (244 nucleotides) under uncultured bacterium. RNAcentral describes it as "partial 16S ribosomal RNA". It matches the Rfam family "Bacterial small subunit ribosomal RNA", at positions 92 to 334 of the family's 1533-position model. The record is from RNAcentral.
CGAGUGGCGAACGGGUGAGUAACGCGUGAGGAACCUGCCUCAAAGAGGGGGACAACAGUUGGAAACGACUGCUAAUACCGCAUAAGCCCACGGGUCGGCACCGACCAGAGGGAAAAGGAGCAAUCCGCUUUGAGAUGGCCUCGCGUCCGAUUAGCUAGUUGGUGGGGUAAUGGCCCACCAAGGCAACGAUCGGUAGCCGGACUGAGAGGUUGAACGGCCACAUUGGGACUGAGACACGGCCCAG